Molecule: long non-coding RNA, 2168 nt
Organism: Trachemys scripta elegans
Lineage: Eukaryota; Metazoa; Chordata; Testudines; Emydidae
Exons: 2
Source: RefSeq, a predicted model, not a curated record
CUUGGCCGGGGAGAUCAGUGGCAGGGCAGCUGGCAGGCGCCCUUUCCUGGACAGCACCCAGCAAAUAUAUUGAAGGGAACCCAUUCUUCCAGGGCUAUAAAAAUCAAAUGCUGGCUGUAUGGCAGUUAACCUCGCAAGCACACAGAGGGCGAGGAGCGUAUUACAAACCCAGGGAGAUUACAGAGCAGCUCACAGAGUCAGCUGUCGAACCAGCGCUCCCAACGGGAGAGCAAACACGCUGGGAGUGGGUGAGCGAGCGUGUGUUCGGCACAGCCGGCAGGGGCACGCUCCCAGCUGGCUGAAAGCACAGACGAGUUGUCAGCAGGCACUUCUCACCAGUGAUCCCCCCCACACCCUGGAGGAAGGCGUGCCAGAUCCUCCCCUCGCAAUGGAAUGGCGGAGGGAAAAGGCUGCCCCAGGAGACGCCUGUAUCCAGGGAGCACAGGACGGACUCCCUCUAGCUUGGGGUCCGGACUGAGGCCGGUUUGGAUUAAAAGAGCCAGCCGUCGGGCGGUGAACUUUACCUUGGGGGGGGCCAGAGGGGACAGACUUCUGUUUCUUAUGCUGACGAGGCGCUCACGGCCUCUCCUGUCUCUCUAGAACAGAACUGAUUACUGAUGGGCAGAUCUGUGAUCUCGGCAGCUCUCCCAGCGCCAAGAGAUGGCAAGGCUCCGGCACAGGCCCCCUUUGGAAGCCUGAAUGGCCGCUUACAAGGUAGCUGGCAGUACAGACUGGGAUGGCUAUGGCUCCAGUGCAUUUAUGACGAUGGCUGGUCACGCCAGCUCCCUCCGACAACAGCAGGUGGAGGCUAGCGCAGGUGUCAACAACAAAAACCUGAGCGGUGUACCGUCGCGACUCCCUGUGCUGUAAAAUACGCCAGGGUGACUUUUCUUCAGAACAGUCAAAGCACAAAAGCAAGUCUCAGAUCAUUUGAUUGUAUGCUGGUGCCGCAAAACCGGCUCAGAUAGCUGCCUGCCUCGACUGAAUUCCCCACCGCACAGGGCACUGAUCUGUCCAUCGGGAGGUGGACUUUUAUACGGAAGACUGGUUGCCUGUUCCCCUUGCCAGCUUGGGCAGACGGAAGGCGAGCCUCACAGCAGAGGCUGGUCGUCAGGCUCCAUGGAAAUGAACCAGAAAGCACCGCAGUGGUUGCCGAGACGACGCACAGGCAUUGUCAGGGCUGAUUUCUGGAGGCAAAACAAAAGACUAGGUGUCAGCCGGUUAUUUGUCAUUCUGCGAGGGGGAUCUUCCUCCAAACUGAAGGGUUCUGGAAACCAACGAGAAAAAUCGUUGCUCUGUGCAACGUUUGUGGUUUCUGGUAUUCAGCGAAUGGAGAAAGCAGGAGAAAAAGCCAACAGCACUUCCCUACCUAGAGCGCCAGGCGAUGGAUUUUCAUAUGGCUUCCGGGCCAGAUCCCUGACAAAGCACCGUCGAUACGUUUGUUCACACCAGCUGGCUGGCUUCCUGCAGUGCUGGCCUCCAUCUAUAAUGGGAUGCUACAUCCUACUGUCCUAAACGGACACUGAGGAUGGGCAACAAUUUCAUGGACUGACUGCUCCCAGGGUCACCUCUUUGGAGAGCGUUUCCAUCGGGAUAAACUCGGGCGGCCCCGGUGUCACGUCAGCAUGUCCCGACGCCAAGGGCUUGCAUCGCAUCAACGGGGGAGGGGUGGCGCAAUACUGCAGCGACUGGUGAUUAGACAGAGAAAUGCAACUGCGGCCUUUGAGCUCAUGCUGAUUCCAGGUGUGUGGGUCUCCAGGCCACCUGCAUACCUGGCCCUGUAUCAUGGCUGCUAUACAGGUGAUAACUGUCUGGGAACGGGCAAAGUGCCUCCACCCCUGUGUAUUUCACUUGUGAUGCCAGCUGACGAGAACGCUGGUCCCCGUGGGACAUCACAGGGUCUGAGAAACUAGCGAGGAGAGGCAAGGGGUAAGGCAUUUACUGGUGGCUUGACUGUUAUAGCCACAUUUCACCAGUGUUCCUGCGCCUCCCUGCAGCUCCUCCCUGGCCAAUGCCGGGAAUUAAUUAGAUUAAUUAUAUUCGGCCAGCGAUCCUGCAUGUUGGUGCCAAAAAUACUCUCUCGUGUGUGUGCCAUUUCCUUCCUUGCCCCUACAGUAAUCCUCAGCCUGUGGAGCAAAUUAUUAAAAUUCACUUAUAUUUAAUCUGCC